CUUCCUGGCCGCAGCAAGCCAAUGAGCGCUGCCGCUUGCCUGUUGCUGUUUGUUGACAGACGACAGCGAGCGCGCGGACGCGCGAGCCGAGCGCAACAGAAUAAAAGCCGUUGGACGACGCCACCGCGUAAUGAAUGUCAGUUUUCGGCCGCAAAUUCGCCACGAAGUCGACCAAUAAUAUUCCUAAGUCAGUGAUUGCUGUGAAAUCCGAAUCAUGUUCAACCAUCCCUGCAAAGAUGCUACAAAUCAAAGAUCUGUGCCCGCGGCUUGCUUGUGUGAUAUCAAUGCAACUCGUUCAAGCUGCGUUCUGAAGCUUUGCGACCCGCGGCACUAUGUAAAUUAUUGAAAGGAUGUCUGGUUUGCAGCUGGGGUUCAAGAUCAAAACAAGCUAGCAGGCUUGUGGAUAUGCUCUGGCUGGGACAGAUCAGGCCGAGGAUGUCAAGACAAUCAUAGAUGGGAAAAGCUGCCAGCAAGAUGGAUUCCAGCCUGCACUCAACUUAUGCCGCAUUUUCCAGUCUGGAGUCUGCUGGUGCUAAUUAUUACUUGGAUGGAAUAGAAGCGACUCCGGAGCUCAAGACGAAAAGCUACAUAAUUGUGUGACAGGAUUUGGAAUUGCUGGACCACACCUUUGAGGAAGAUUGAGUGAUUCAUGUGUAUUUUUGUUUUUAAGUGAGGCUAUUUUUGAGCGAAAUUGUUGUAUUUUAUAUAGAGCAUUCAUUUUAAGGCUAAUAUCUUUGGCAUACACAUACUUGUAUUCACUGUAAUAAUGUUGGUAUUAAACUUCAAUUAAAUUCCAAACAUUAAUUUAGUGAAUACAGGUAUGUGUACAAUAAAUUUAUGUUUGAGCUGACAUUCAAUCAUUGAAUUUUCUUGCCAGAAACGUUUUGGCAGCUGAAAAUUUUAUAAUAAAUAUUUUUGAUAGCCAUUAUAGGUUUUAAAUUGGCUAUUUGUGUAAGCCUUUCGAAGUCGGCGUAGCCGUAUACUUCCAAUUUAAAUUCCCAUCGACUGAGGUCAAGGAUUUAAUCCUGCUGAUGUAUUUUCUGGGUUUUAAAUGAUUUAUUUUGAUUCUUAGAACCAAAAUCAGUUCAGCCAAUCUCUGUAGAAACAUGGAAAUAAUAUUUUUAUCAAAUCUGACGUUUCGAAGGUGAUUGGCUAGACUGACUUUUGCUUUUAGUACAUCAAAUAAAAUCAAUUAAAGGAUUUUGAAUGCAGAGCGGUAAGAUCGUGUCUUUAUUUUCUCAGUGGAAGUGCUUAAAAUCAAAAGUAACAGCUGGCACCAUUUUUCGGGAGCAUUAUUACACUAAGGGGUUUCCGAAGCUUGUGAAUGUUAUAAUUUUUUAGCUUUCUUAAUUAAUUGUCUUCUCUUGUUUCUCAUAACCUUUAAGGACACUACUGUAAAUUGAUAAAAUUCUCUGUAUUGAUCUAUUGUUACUGUGCAUGUGUCAUCUUUUUGUAAUCGAAAUUGUAUAAGUAAUAAACAUAAAUUUUAAAA
Long non-coding RNA from Cloeon dipterum, 1492 nucleotides. RefSeq lists it as uncharacterized. The record is from RefSeq and is a predicted model, not a curated record. The transcript has 4 exons. Lineage: Eukaryota; Metazoa; Arthropoda; Insecta; Ephemeroptera; Baetidae.